UGCUACCAUUUCUCAACAAAGAUGCCUGUAAAUGUUAGUUACCGAAAGGUUAUGUGACACUGGACUGUUGAGCACAACCCGUAACUCAUAUUGGUAAAAACCUAGUAAUUGCAGCCAGCUGGAAGCCUCUCUGUACAUUGUAUAGUACAGUAUCAAGGACAGGCUGUUGGUAAACAGUCAAACAUCAGGAUGGGAAGAGCCUCUUACUUAGCUGUGAUUUUCAUCUGUUUUGUUUCCAGUAGCAGGAUAUCUGGACAGUCAUGUGAAGGAAAAUGUGGUGGCAAAUUAGAAUCCUGUUCUUGCCAUGCCACUUGUGUAUCCCUCGAUAACUGCUGUGUGGACUACGGGGAGUACUGUGUCGAUGUCACUCCAUAUUCCGGAUCAAUAUUUGGUGGAACUGACUUUAUUGUCCUCAAAGCAACUUUUAAUGAGAGCUCCCAAAUAAUCUGCAGGUUCAAUGAUGAAAUCAAAACGGUGGGCUAUGUGGACACAGACAGCAGAGGCCACUGCAUAUCACCUCUACUGUAUGAAACAGGGUCGGUUCCUUUUCAGAUCUCUACAGACAAUGGUACAACCUUCAGCAGACAUGGAGCUUGGUUAUCAGUCCAUCCUGGAAAGUUAGAUCCCAGUUUCAAAGCUACUAUAAUCAACGCAACCCAGUGGCAGUACUACGGCACCCCAAAAGUUGGAGGCCCGCUGGACAUGACAUGGAACACCUCACAGGUCAGAGCAGAAAAGGUCAACAUAGAGCUCUGGGGAUACAUGGAGAAAGGGGAUCCCUACUCAGAGUCCUGGCAGGGUAAAUGGGAGUACCUGUACUCUCUUGGGAGGGACCAGCCUAACAAUGGUGCCUUCAGAUUUGUGCCCAAGACAGCAGGGAAGCCCUUCUCAGACUGGGAGGUCGGCUGUCUACGCAUCAGCGCCAGUACUCACCCAGAUGGAACAUGGAAUGUCCAGGCAGUGUGGACUGAGGACCAUGCUCUAGCCUGGCAUCUGGAGGACAAGUUCAGGCAGGACUCAGCCAUCUGGGCACUGGAUAAGUGUAAAGCCUGGGACCAGCUGGAGGAGACACUGCCAGACUUCCUCUCUGAAAUUAUUGACUGUCCAUGCACACUGGCUCAGGCUAGAGCAGACACUGGGAGGUUUCAUACAGAUUAUGGCUGUGAUAUGGAGAAGGGGAGUGUGUGUACCUACCACCCAGGAAGUGUGCACUGUGUGCGGGCCAUACAAGCCAGCCCCAAGUUUGCAGCAGGACAGCAGUGUUGCUAUGACCACACGGGGGCCCAGGUUUUGACAGAUGACUCCAUUGGCGGGAGUACCCCAGACAGAGCCCAUGACUGGGGCUCACCCCCAUUUGUAAAGCCCCCCAGAGUCCCUGGGUUCUCCCACUGGCUCUACGACGUCCUCAGCUUCUACUACUGCUGCCUGUGGUCUGACAACUGUCACUACUACUUCAAACGCAGACCCUCUAGUGACUGCAGGACCUACCAAGUAGCAAAAGCAGGUGUGGUGUUUGGAGACCCCCACUUCAUAACAUUUGAUGGCGUCAGUUACUCCUUCAAUGGAAAGGGGGAAUACACCAUUAUGGUCUCAGAAAGCAAGGAACUGACAAUACAGGGCAGAACAGAGCCGGUAAUACUGACAAAUGGCAGCAUGGUGAAAGCAACAAAGCUAUCAGCGGUUGCCAUGAGAGAGGGGACCUCUGACAUCAUUGAGGUGCGACUCGGAAAACCUCAGGACCACCUACAGGUGCUGCAGAACCAAACCUCCCUCUCCUUCUCUGAGCAGAGCUGGAUGGAUCUGAAGGGUGUGUUUGUAUUUUCGCCCAACCCUACAAAUGUGACUGUCAUGUUCCCCUCUGGAGCUGGAGUGGAACUGAGACUGAGAGGGGGAACCAUGACAACCACAGUGCUUCUACCAGAGGUGUUUAAGGAUUUUACCCGUGGACUGUUAGGAAAGAUGAACGGUGAUCCCAAAGAUGACCUGGUUACCAGUGAUGGUCAGACUGAGUCUGAUCAAGGCAAUGCAGAGGGGCUGUUUAAUUUCGGGGCAAGCUGGGCUAUAUUGAACGAGUCCACGCUCUUCACGUACGAUUCGGAACACUUGUUGAACUCAUAUCUCCAUGCUCCAAAACACGACGCCAGUUUCCGUCCAGUGUUUUCCAUCCCUGAGGAUCCAAAUGAUCCUCUCGGCAGCCAGGCCUCUGAGCUGUGCUCUGGAGAGGGCUCUCUGUACUGUAGAUAUGAUACGCUGAUGGCUCGUAGUCUGGAGAUGGGCAAUGCCACCAGGGUAUCUUUUCAGAGCCACAGGUCUGUAGUGGAGGAUCUAGAGCCAGUGGUGUCCUGUGGCUGGCUUUCUCCACCCACAAAUGGAAAGAAGGAGGGGACCAGAUAUUUACAGGGAGCUGUGGUGAAGCUGUCCUGUGACUCUGGCUAUGUCCUCUGGGGGUCAGAGGAGCACACAUGCCUGGGGACUGGUCAAUGGUCUGGUGAAACCACGACCUGCGUGGCUGGUAUGGACAAUAGCUGAAAUCAACAGCAAAAUUCUAUGCUACUCGUAUGAAUCAUCGCUGAAAUCAACAGCAACAUGAUAUAUGCUCCUGGUAUGUAGGAAAUACCAGUAUGAAAAUGUAUUGUGGCAGACCAGGGGGUUUGGUCAAAACAUUUACACAGAUCAGACACGGACAGAGUAGGAUUAGCUCAGUUUCAAAGGUAUUUAUUAAAAUAAUAGUCCAAAAGAAUUGGUCUCCCCCAAGAGACCCUCUCCGGGAUACCAUCUUCUGGGCUCCGGGUCUAGCUGUAUCCUGUGGUGAUCAAAAACAUGAACCCUAUCCUGUUACCGCCCCCAACUAUACAGGAGUCCGUUCCUCCUCCAGUCUCUCCCCAGUGUGUUGCCCUUCUGGCAGUUUUAUGGGAUGUGUACAGCUGGUGAGCAAUCAGCCCUUGAUUACUCACCAAUCCCCAAUCAGCCCCAAUUAGUCCUGACAGGAGAGCCCGUCGAGACCUGGCACGUCCAGCAGAUGGAGCCAUCGCCUCGUGAUCUAUACUCCGUCUGUCACCAGGCCUCGACAAGUCUCCCCCUGGUGGCUGACCUGCUGUACGCCACAAUAAUCUCAGGGGAAUUGUGGUUGGUUCAGUUAUUGGAGCACUAGCAUUAAUCCUAGUGAUAGUAACACUCAUAAUCAACAGCAGACAACA
Molecule: RNA transcript, 3197 nt
Organism: Oncorhynchus nerka (sockeye salmon)
Lineage: Eukaryota; Metazoa; Chordata; Actinopteri; Salmoniformes; Salmonidae
Gene name: sushi domain-containing protein 2
Exons: 15
Source: RefSeq, a predicted model, not a curated record